Molecule: ribosomal RNA, 451 nt
Filed under: uncultured bacterium
Lineage: Bacteria
Description: bacterial SSU rRNA
Rfam family: Bacterial small subunit ribosomal RNA
Source: RNAcentral
CUCUGUGACUCCUACGGGAGGCAGCAGUGGGGAAUAUUGCACAAUGGGCGCAAGCCUGAUGCAGCAACGCCGCGUGAGCGAUGAAGGCCUUCGGGUCGUAAAAGCUCUGUCCUCAAGGAAGAAUAAAUGACGGUACUUGAGGAGGAAGCCCCGGCUAACUACGUGCCAGCAGCCGCGGUAAUACGUAGGGGGCAAGCGUUAUCCGGAAUCACUGGGCGUAAAGGGUGCGUAGGUCGGUUUUUCAAGUCAGAAGUGAAAGGCUAUGGCUCAACCAUAGUAAGCUUUUGAAACUGUUAAACUUGAGUGCAGGAGAGGAAAGUGGAAUUCCUAGUGUAGAGGUGAAAUUCGUAGAUAUUAGGAGGAACACCAGUGGCGAAGGCGACUUUCUGGACUGUAACUGACGCUGAGGCACGAAAGCGUGGGGAGCGAACAGGAUUAGAUACCCUGGUAG